AGUGAACGCUGGCGGUAGGCCUAACACAUGCAAGUCGAACGGCAGCACAGGAGAGCUUGCUCUCUGGGUGGCGGGUGGCGGACGGGUGAGGAAUACAUCGGAAGCUACUUUUUCGUGGGGGAUAACGGAGGGAAACUUACGCUAAUACCGCAUACGACCUACGGGUGAAGGCAGGGGACCUCCGACCCUUGCGCGAUUGAUUGCGCCGAUGUCGGAUUAGCUAGUUGGCGGGGUAAAGGCCCACCAAGGCGACGAUCCGUAGCUGGUCUGAGAGGAUGAUCAGCCACACUGGAACUGAGACACGGUCCAGAGUCCUACGGGAGGCAGCAGUGGGGAAUAUUGGACAAUGGGCGCAAGCCUGAUCCAGCCAUACCGCGUGGGUGAAGAAGGCCUUCGGGUUGUAAAGCCCUUUUGUUGGGAAAGAAAUCCAGCUGGCUAAUACCCGGUUGGGAUGACGGUACCCAAAGAAUAAGCACCGGCUAACUUCGUGCCAGCCGCCGCCGUAA
Molecule: ribosomal RNA, 506 nt
Filed under: uncultured bacterium
Lineage: Bacteria
Description: partial 16S ribosomal RNA
Rfam family: Bacterial small subunit ribosomal RNA
Source: RNAcentral